RNAcentral lists this ribosomal RNA (447 nucleotides) under uncultured bacterium. Its description in RNAcentral is "partial 16S ribosomal RNA". It matches the Rfam family "Bacterial small subunit ribosomal RNA", at positions 29 to 507 of the family's 1533-position model. The record is from RNAcentral.
AACGAACGCUGGCGGCGCGCCUAAUACAUGCAAGUCGAGCGAGAAGGUGUAGCAAUACACUUGUAAAGCGGCGAACGGGUGAGGAAUACAUGGGUAAUCUACCAUCGAGUGGGGAAUAACCAACCGAAAGGUUGGCUAAUACCGCAUACGCCCUAAGGGGGAAAGGCGCAAGUCGCUAUAAGAUGAGCCCGCGUCUGAUUAGGUAGUUGGUGGGGUAAAGGCCUACCAAGCCGACGAUCAGUAGCUGGUCUGAGAGGAUGAUCAGCCACGUCGGGACUGAGACACGGCCCGGACUCCUACGGGAGGCAGCAGUCGGGAAUAUUGGACAAUGGGGGAAACCCUGAUCCAGCAAUACCGCGUGUGUGAAGAAGGCCUGCGGGUUGUAAAGCACUUUCAGUUGGGAAGAUAAUGACGUUACCAACAGAAGAAGCACCGGCUAACUCCGUG